This 461-nucleotide ribosomal RNA is filed under the name uncultured bacterium. Its description in RNAcentral is "bacterial SSU rRNA". It matches the Rfam family "Bacterial small subunit ribosomal RNA", at positions 43 to 524 of the family's 1533-position model. The record is from RNAcentral.
CAGGCCUAACACAUGCAAGUCGAACGGUAAGGCUCUUUCGGGAGUACACGAGUGGCGAACGGGUGAGUAACACGUGAGCAACCUGCCCUUGACUUUGGGAUACCAGCUGGAAACAGCUGCUAAUACCGGAUAUGACCUUGUUUUGCAUGAUUCGAGGUGGAAAGCUCCGGCGGUCAGGGAUGGGCUCGCGGCCUAUCAGCUUGUUGGUGAGGUAAUGGCUCACCAAGGCUUCGACGGGUAGCCGGCCUGAGAGGGCGACCGGCCACACUGGGACUGAGAUACGGCCCAGACUCCUACGGGAGGCAGCAGUGGGGAAUAUUGGACAAUGGGCGAAAGCCUGAUCCAGCAAUGCCGCGUGAGUGAUGAAGGCCUUAGGGUUGUAAAGCUCUUUUACCCGGGAUGAUAAUGACAGUACCGGGAGAAUAAGCUCCGUCUAACUCCGUGCCAGCAGCCGCGGUAAU